AUACGUAGGUGGCACGCGUUGUGCGGAUUUACUGGGUGUAAAGGGGGCGCAGGCGGGGAGCUCCGUUGGAUGUGGCAGACAAGGGGGCAACUCCGGGGCUGCAUGCAAAACGGGGUUUACUGCGUGGAGAAGACGCAAGCGGAGUCCCGACUGGAGCGGUGCAAUGCGUAGAUAUUCGGAGGAAAACCAGUGGCGAAGGCGGCUUGCUGGACUCUAACUGACGCUGAGGCCCGAAAGCGUGGGGAGCAAACAGGAUUAGAUACCCUGGUAGUCCACGCCGUAAACGAUGAUUACUAGGUGUGGGGGGUCUGACCCCUUCCGUGCCGCAGUUAACGCAAUAAGUAAUCCACCUGGGGAGUACGGCCGCAAGGCUGAAACUCAAAUGAAUUGACGGGG
Molecule: ribosomal RNA, 396 nt
Filed under: uncultured bacterium
Lineage: Bacteria
Description: partial 16S ribosomal RNA
Rfam family: Bacterial small subunit ribosomal RNA
Source: RNAcentral